Molecule: ribosomal RNA, 506 nt
Filed under: uncultured bacterium
Lineage: Bacteria
Description: partial 16S ribosomal RNA
Rfam family: Bacterial small subunit ribosomal RNA
Source: RNAcentral
AUUGAACGCUGGCGGCAGGCCUAACACAUGCAAGUCGGACGGUAGCACAGAGGAGCUUGCUCCUUGGGUGACGAGUGGCGGACGGGUGAGUAAUGUCUGGGGAUCUGCCCGAUAGAGGGGGAUAACCACUGGAAACGGUGGCUAAUACCGCAUAACGUCGCAAGACCAAAGAGGGGGACCUUCGGGCCUCUCACUAUCGGAUGAACCCAGAUGGGAUUAGCUAGUAGGCGGGGUAAUGGCCCACCUAGGCGACGAUCCCUAGAUGGUCUGAGAGGAUGACCAGCCACACUGGAACGGAGACACGGUCCAGACUCCUACGGGAGGCAGCAGUGGGGAAGAUUGCACAAUGGGCGCAAGCCUGAUGCAGCCAUGCCGCGUGUAUGAAGAAGGCCUUCGGGUUGUAAAGUACUUUCAGCGGGGAGGAAGGCGGUGAGGUUAAUAACCUCACCGAUUGACGUUACCCGCAGAAGAAGCACCGGCUAACUCCGUGCCAGCAGCCGCCGUAA